RNAcentral lists this ribosomal RNA (278 nucleotides) under uncultured prokaryote. Its description in RNAcentral is "partial 16S ribosomal RNA". It matches the Rfam family "Bacterial small subunit ribosomal RNA", at positions 524 to 776 of the family's 1533-position model. The record is from RNAcentral.
UACGGAGGGCGCAAGCGUUGUCCGGAAUCACUGGGCGUAAAGGGCGCGUAGGCGGCCCGAUAAGGCUCGCGUGAAAGUCCGGGGCUCAACCCCGGAUCGGCGUGGGCGACUGUCAGGCUCGAGCACGGUAGGGGCAGACGGAAUUCCGGGUGUAGCGGUGGAAUGCGUAGAGAUCCGGAAGAACACCGGUGGCGAAGGCGGUCUGCUGGGCCGGAAGGGGGCAUAGCAAUAUGUCCCUGUGCUGACGCUGAGGCGCGACAGCGUGGGGAGCAAACAGG